CCUACGGGCGGCAGCAGUGGGGAAUAUUGCACAAUGGGCGCGAGCCUGAACCAGCCAAGUAGCGUGAAGGAUGACUGCCCUACGGGUUGUAAACUUCUUUUAUAAAGGAAUAAAAUGAGGCACGUGUGCCUUUUUGUAUGUACUUUAUGAAUAAGGAUCGGCUAACUCCGUGCCAGCAGCCGCGGUAAUACGGAGGAUCCGAGCGUUAUCCGGAUUUAUUGGGUUUAAAGGGAGCGUAGAUGGGUUGUUAAGUCAGUUGUGAAAGUUUGCGGCUCAACCGUAAAAUUGCAAUUGAUACUGGCAGCCUUGAGUACAGUUGAGGUAGGCGGAAUUCGUGGUGUAGCGGUGAAAUGCUUAGAUAUCACGAAGAACUCCGAUUGCGAAGGCAGCUUACUAAACUGCGACUGACAUUGAUGCUCGAAAGUGUGGGUAUCAAACAGGAUUAGAUACCCUAGUAGUC
RNAcentral lists this ribosomal RNA (460 nucleotides) under uncultured bacterium. RNAcentral's name for it is "partial 16S ribosomal RNA". It matches the Rfam family "Bacterial small subunit ribosomal RNA", at positions 338 to 795 of the family's 1533-position model. The record is from RNAcentral.